GACGAACGCUGGCGGCGUGCUUAACACAUGCAAGUCGAACGGUAAGGCUCCAGCUUGCUGGGGUACACGAGUGGCGAACGGGUGAGUAACACGUGGGUGACCUGCCCUGCACUUCGGGAUAAGCCUGGGAAACUGGGUCUAAUACCGGAUAGGACCGCACCGUGAGGGUGUGGUGGAAAGUUUUUUCGGUGUGGGAUGGGCCCGCGGCCUAUCAGCUUGUUGGUGGGGUAAUGGCCUACCAAGGCGGCGACGGGUAGCCGGCCUGAGAGGGUGGACGGCCACAUUGGGACUGAGACACGGCCCAGACUCCUACGGGAGGCAGCAGUGGGGAAUAUUGCACAGUGGGCGGAAGCCUGAUGCAGCGACGCCGCGUGGGGGAUGACGGCCUUCGGGUUGUAAACUCCUUUCACCAUCGACGAAGGGUUUCUGACGGUAGAUGGAGAAGAAGCACCGGCUAACUACGUG
RNAcentral lists this ribosomal RNA (465 nucleotides) under uncultured bacterium. RNAcentral describes it as "partial 16S ribosomal RNA". It matches the Rfam family "Bacterial small subunit ribosomal RNA", at positions 28 to 507 of the family's 1533-position model. The record is from RNAcentral.